This 434-nucleotide ribosomal RNA is filed under the name uncultured bacterium. Its description in RNAcentral is "partial 16S ribosomal RNA". It matches the Rfam family "Bacterial small subunit ribosomal RNA", at positions 29 to 507 of the family's 1533-position model. The record is from RNAcentral.
AGCGAACGCUGGCGGCAGGCCUAACACAUGCAAGUCGAACGAACCUUUCGGGGUUAGUUGCGGUCGGGUGAGGCACACGUGGGAACGUGCCUUUAGGUACGGAAAACUUCAGGGUAGCUUGUGCUAAUGCAGAAUGUGCUCUUCGGGGACAGGAUUCAUCGCCUUUAGGUCGGCCGGGGUCUGUUUAGCUAGUUGGUGGUGGGAAUGCCUCACCAAGGCGAGGAUCAGUAGCUGGUCUGAGAGGAUGAACCGCCACAUCGGCACUGAGACACGGCCCAGACUCCUACGCGAUGCAGCAGUGGGGAAUCUUGCGCAAUGGGCGAAAGCCUGACGCAGCCAUGCCGCGUGAAUGAUGAAGUUCGUAGGAUUGUGAAAUUCUUUCACCGGGGACUAUAAUGACGGUACCCGGAGAAGAAGCCCCGGCUAACUUCGUG